UGAGGAAUAUUGCGCAAUGGGCGAAAGUCUGAUGCAGCAACGCCGCGUGUACGAUGAAGGCCUUCGGGUCGUAAAGUACUUUUCAGGGAGAUGAGAAAGGACAGUACCCCUGGAAUAAGUCUCGGCUAACUACGUGCCAGCAGCCGCGGUAAAACGUAGGAGGCGAGCGUUAUCCGGAUUUACUGGGUGUAAAGCGCGUGCAGGCGGUUUGAUAAGUUGGAUGUGAAAGCUCCUGGCUCAACUGGGAGAGGUCGUUCAAAACUAUCAGACUAGAGAGUGGUAGAGGAAAGUGGAAUUCCCGGUGUAGUGGUGAAAUGCGUAGAUAUCGGGAGGAACACCAGUGGCGAAGGCGGCUUUCUGGACCAUUUCUGACGCUAAGACGCGAAAGCUAGGGUAGCAAACGGGAUUAGAGACCCCGGUAGUCCUAGCAGUAAACGAUGUGAACUUGGCGUUGGUGGUGUAAAAACCAUCAGUGCCGAAGCUAACGCGAUAAGUUCACCACCUGGGAACUACGGCCGCAAGGUUA
This 526-nucleotide ribosomal RNA is filed under the name uncultured bacterium. RNAcentral describes it as "bacterial SSU rRNA". It matches the Rfam family "Bacterial small subunit ribosomal RNA", at positions 355 to 896 of the family's 1533-position model. The record is from RNAcentral.